GAUGAACGCUGGCGGCGUGCCUAAUACAUGCAAGUCGAGCGGCAGCACGGUCUUCGGACUGGUGGCGAGCGGCGGACGGCAGAGUAACGCGUAGGAAUAUACCCCAAAGUGAGGGAUAAGCUCCAGAAAUGGAGUCUAAUACCGCAUAUGGUCUUCGGAUUAAAGCCUUCGGGCGCUAUGGGAAUAGCCUGCGUUCGAUUAGCUAGUUGGUGAGGUAAUGGCUCACCAAGGCGACGAUCGAUAGCUGGUCUGAGAGGAUGAUCAGCCUGACUGGAACUGAGAUACGGUCCAGACUCCUACGGGAGGCAGCAGUGGGGAAUAUUGGGCAAUGGGGGAAACCCUGACCCAGCGACGCCGCGUGAGGGAAGACGGCCUUCGGGUUGUAAACCUCUUUUGUACGGGAAGAAGGAAGUGACGGUACUGUACGAAUAAGUCCCGGCUAACUACGUG
RNAcentral lists this ribosomal RNA (450 nucleotides) under uncultured bacterium. RNAcentral's name for it is "bacterial SSU rRNA". It matches the Rfam family "Bacterial small subunit ribosomal RNA", at positions 28 to 507 of the family's 1533-position model. The record is from RNAcentral.